UUAAGGACCAAAUUGAGGACUAAAACCUAAUACGAUUUAUCUGUGAAGACUUCCAAGCCUUCUGAAUUUAUGAGAACUCCACUCAGAGCACCCUCCAAUAACGAUUACAUAAACUUAUUACACUUAAGGGCCAACAUUUAUGUACCUUGGUAAUUUGGUCUGGAUUUCCAUUACAAAGAAAACAACCUUGGCAAGAGCUCCAAACACAGCAGGCAAACCAAACGUGAAAUGAACUCCAGAUGCAUCGUGAGUUCUGAGAGUAGGCAA
This 267-nucleotide long non-coding RNA is filed under the name Gallus gallus (chicken). The record is from RNAcentral. Lineage: Eukaryota; Metazoa; Chordata; Aves; Galliformes; Phasianidae.